RNAcentral lists this ribosomal RNA (484 nucleotides) under uncultured bacterium. Its description in RNAcentral is "partial 16S ribosomal RNA". It matches the Rfam family "Bacterial small subunit ribosomal RNA", at positions 29 to 507 of the family's 1533-position model. The record is from RNAcentral.
AGUGAACGCUGGCGGCAGGCCUAACACAUGCAAGUCGAGCGGCAGCGCGGGGGCAACCCUGGCGGCGAGCGGCGGACGGGUGAGGAAUUCGUCUGAAUCUGCCUUUUUGUGGGGGAUAACGUAGGGAAACUUACGCUAAUACCGCAUACGUCCUACGGGAGAAAGUGGGGGACCGCAAGGCCUCACGCAGAAAGAUGAGCCGACGACCGAUUAGCUAGUUGGUGGGGUAAAGGCCCACCAAGGCGACGAUCGGUAGCCGGUCUGAGAGGAUGAUCAGCCACACUGGGACUGAGACACGGCCCAGACUCUUACGGGAGGCAGCAGUGGGGAAUAUUGGACAAUGGGCGCAAGCCUGAUCCAGCCAUGCCGCGUGUGUGAAGAAGGCCUUCGGGUUGUAAAGCACUUUUGUCCGGAAAGAAAUACCUGGAGCUAAUACCUUCGGGGGAUGACGGUACCGGAAGAAUAAGCACCGGCUAACUUCGUG